Molecule: ribosomal RNA, 204 nt
Filed under: uncultured bacterium
Lineage: Bacteria
Description: partial 16S ribosomal RNA
Rfam family: Bacterial small subunit ribosomal RNA
Source: RNAcentral
UACGUAGGAGGCAAGCGUUGUCCGGAAUUACUGGGCGUAAAGCGCGUGUAGGUGGUGGGACAAGUCUGCUGUGAAAGCGCCUGGCUUAACCGGGCGAGGUCGGCGGAAACUGUCCGACUCGAGGACGGUAGAGGGGGGUGGAAUUCCCGGUGUAGUGGUGAAAUGCGUAGAGAUCGGGAGGAACACCUGUGGCGAAGGCGGCCC